UUGAAGAGUUUGAUCAUGGCUCAGAUUGAACGCUGGCGGCAGGCCUAACACAUGCAAGUCGAGCGGUAGCACAGAGAGCUUGCUCUCGGGUGACGAGCGGCGGACGGGUGAGUAAUGUCUGGGAAACUGCCUGAUGGAGGGGGAUAACUACUGGAAACGGUAGCUAAUACCGCAUAACGUCGCAAGACCAAAGUGGGGGACCUUCGGGCCUCAUGCCAUCAGAUGUGCCCAGAUGGGAUUAGCUAGUAGGUGGGGUAACGGCUCACCUAGGCGACGAUCCCUAGCUGGUCUGAGAGGAUGACCAGCCACACUGGAACUGAGACACGGUCCAGACUCCUACGGGAGGCAGCAGUGGGGAAUAUUGCACAAUGGGCGCAAGCCUGAUGCAGCCAUGCCGCGUGUGUGAAGAAGGCCUUCGGGUUGUAAAGCACUUUCAGCGGGGAGGAAGGCGGUGAGGUUAAUAACCUCAYCGAUUGACGUUACCCGCAGAAGAAGCACCGGCUAACUCCGUGCCAGCAGCCGCGGUAAUACGGAGGGUGCAAGCGUUAAUCGGAAUUACUGGGCGUAAAGCGCACGCAGGCGGUCUGUCAAGUCGGAUGUGAAAUCCCCGGGCUCAACCUGGGAACUGCAUUCGAAACUGGCAGGCUAGAGUCUUGUAGAGGGGGGUAGAAUUCCAGGUGUAGCGGUGAAAUGCGUAGAGAUCUGGAGGAAUACCGGUGGCGAAGGCGGCCCCCUGGACAAAGACUGACGCUCAGGUGCGAAAGCGUGGGGAGCAAACAGGAUUAGAUACCCUGGUAGUCCACGCCGUAAACGAUGUCGAUUUGGAGGUUGUGCCCUUGAGGCGUGGCUUCCGGAGCUAACGCGUUAAAUCGACCGCCUGGGGAGUACGGCCGCAAGGUUAAAACUCAAAUGAAUUGACGGGGGCCCGCACAAGCGGUGGAGCAUGUGGUUUAAUUCGAUGCAACGCGAAGAACCUUACCUGGUCUUGACAUCCACAGAACUUUCCAGAGAUGGAUUGGUGCCUUCGGGAACUGUGAGACAGGUGCUGCAUGGCUGUCGUCAGCUCGUGUUGUGAAAUGUUGGGUUAAGUCCCGCAACGAGCGCAACCCUUAUCCUUUGUUGCCAGCGGUUMGGCCGGGAACUCAAAGGAGACUGCCAGUGAUAAACUGGAGGAAGGUGGGGAUGACGUCAAGUCAUCAUGGCCCUUACGACCAGGGCUACACACGUGCUACAAUGGCAUAUACAAAGAGAAGCGACCUCGCGAGAGCAAGCGGACCUCAUAAAGUAUGUCGUAGUCCGGAUUGGAGUCUGCAACUCGACUCCAUGAAGUCGGAAUCGCUAGUAAUCGUAGAUCAGAAUGCUACGGUGAAUACGUUCCCGGGCCUUGUACACACCGCCCGUCACACCAUGGGAGUGGGUUGCAAAAGAAGUAGGUAGCUUAACCUUCGGGAGGGCGCUUACCACUUUGUGAUUCAUGACUGGGGUGAAGUCGUAACAAGGUAACCGUAGGGGAACCUGCGGUUGGAUCACCUCCUU
RNAcentral lists this ribosomal RNA (1536 nucleotides) under Klebsiella pneumoniae. RNAcentral describes it as "bacterial SSU rRNA". Lineage: Bacteria; Pseudomonadati; Pseudomonadota; Gammaproteobacteria; Enterobacterales; Enterobacteriaceae. The record is from RNAcentral.